AGCAGCAGCCGCGGUAAUACGUAGGUGGCGAGCGUUGUCCGAAAUUAUUGGGCGUAAAGGGAGCGCAGGCGGACAUAUAAGUCCAUCUUAAAAGUGCGGGGCUCAACCCCGUGAGGGGAUGGAAACUGUAUGCCUUGAGUGCAGGAGAGGUAAGCGGAAUUCCCAGUGUAACGGUGAAAUGCGUAGAUAUUGGGAGGAACACCGGUGGCGAAGGCGGCUUUCUGGACUGUAACUGACGCUGAGGAGCGAAAGCGUGGGGAGCGAACAGGAUUAGAUACCCCCGUAGUCCCUGUCUCUUAUACA
RNAcentral lists this ribosomal RNA (303 nucleotides) under uncultured bacterium. RNAcentral's name for it is "partial 16S ribosomal RNA". It matches the Rfam family "Bacterial small subunit ribosomal RNA", at positions 507 to 808 of the family's 1533-position model. The record is from RNAcentral.